RNAcentral lists this ribosomal RNA (493 nucleotides) under uncultured bacterium. Its description in RNAcentral is "partial 16S ribosomal RNA". It matches the Rfam family "Bacterial small subunit ribosomal RNA", at positions 29 to 507 of the family's 1533-position model. The record is from RNAcentral.
ACGCACGCUGGCGGCGUGCUUCACACAUGCAAGUCGAACGGUGAAGCGCCUUCCUUUUUGGUGGGUGUGGAUGAGUGGCGAACGGGUGAGUAACACGUGAGUAACCUGCCCCCUUCUUCUGGAUAACCGCAUGAAAGUGUGGCUAAUACGGGAUAUUCUGGGUCUGUCGCAUGAUGGGUCUGGGAAAGAUAUUGUUUCGGUGGGGGAUGGGCUCGCGGCCUAUCAGCUUGUUGGUGGGGUGAUGGCCUACCAAGGCGGUGACGGGUAGCCGGCCUGAGAGGGUGGACGGUCACACUGGGACUGAGACACGGCCCAGACUCCUACGGGAGGCAGCAGUGGGGAAUAUUGCACAAUGGGUGCAAGCCUGAUGCAGCGACGCCGCGUGAGGGAUGGAGGCCUUCGGGUUGUGAACCUCUUUCGCCAGUGAAGCAGGCCUGCCUCGUUUGUGGGUGGGUUGACGGUAGCUGGAUAAGAAGCGCCGGCUAACUACGUG